Molecule: long non-coding RNA, 1304 nt
Filed under: Capra hircus (goat)
Lineage: Eukaryota; Metazoa; Chordata; Mammalia; Artiodactyla; Bovidae
Description: lncRNA (ENSCHIG00010006204.1)
Source: RNAcentral
AUGACUUUGUCCAAUAUUUUCAUGCACUUUUUUUCCAUUAGAAAAAUAUGUUUUAUUAGCUUUUUGUUGACCACAAGAAGUGCAAGGUUUAGGAGAUACUUGUCGUUAAAAAUAUGUUACAUGUAUUUGUGCUAAAUACGGAAUUUGUUCUCCUACUAAGGGACACCAAACAUUUGGCUUUAAUACCUCAAUUUUUAUAGACCUAAAUAUAUCAAUUUUUUGGUAACAUAAGUAUAGUGAUUUUUUUCCCUUUUAUUUUCAAUAUGUUUUUGUUUUUACAGUUUUAGUUUUUGUACUCUUGAAAAUAUCAUUUCUAAAGAAAAAGUAUACAAAAUCUUACUAUAACAGAGCUCUAAUAACCUGUCAAAUACUAAGNNNNNNNNNNNNNNNNNNNNNNNNNNNAACAUCUUUUUCAUAAUGUAAUUAAUCAUAAAGUAAGUUAAAUGGGCAUAAGUUCUUUAUUUACUGCCUCUGAGCCCAGAUUAGAAUGUAAAGAGAGAUUAUUCCCAUUUAAGACAAGACAAUAAUAGGAAAUGGCAAAUUUAGUUCUUCAGAAAGGGAGUGUGAUCCUUAAGGACAUUCAAAACUUUCAGAUGCAUCAAUAGCAUUUAUUUGAAAAGUACUACAGAGAGAAAUNNNNNNNNNNNNNNNNNNNNNNNNNNNNNNNNNNNNNAAAAUCUGAAUAAAAAUAAACUGGUUAAAAAUAUUCUAUCCACAUUUUGAAAAGCCUGGAUCUGCAGCAGUCCCCCAUCUCGUGCAGAACUAGCUUCCUGGAAAACACUGGCCCAUGUGCAGGGUUUACAUCAAUAACCAUAGUUUUAAUUAGUGCUGAAGGACGUCAGAUCUUUCUCUGCACUAGGCUGACCCAUGUGUCCCUUUUCAGAGACAGAGCAUUCCUUCUCUGAGGGUCAUUCGUUAUGUUCAGUGGCACAUGCCUGCUUGCUUCUGUCCUCAUUGUAGUCAGGGUACACAGUCAUCAGUGAGGAGUUUUCCAUCCUAGUAAUAAGGGUCUUCUAGGAUAACGAACUCCCUGCAACAUGUGCAUUAGACAUCAAUAUGGUCCAUGACAGUACCACACAUAUAUAAUAAAAUGUGUUGUGGCAGAACUUGCUUUAGAAACUAAAUGCUAUAUUGACUCAUUAUAACUGAACAUUUUGAUUAAACUUCAUUGGAUUUCACAAACAUCUCAUAAAUCUGUUAUGAAGGAGAAAGUUACUGAUCAUUUCAGUUCAGUCACUCAGUUAUGUCCAGCUGUUUGCAACCCCAUGGACUGCAGCACACCAGACUUCCCUGUCCAUCACCAA